GCUGGGAGUGGUGGCGUGCACCUGUAGUCCCAGCUACUUGGGAGGCUGAGACAGGAGAAUUGCUCGAACCCAGGAGGCGGAGGUUGCAGUGAGCCAAGAUUGCGCUACUGCACUCCAGCCUGGGCAACAGAGCAAGACUCUGUCUCCA
This 148-nucleotide non-coding RNA is filed under the name Gorilla gorilla gorilla (western lowland gorilla). Lineage: Eukaryota; Metazoa; Chordata; Mammalia; Primates; Hominidae. The record is from Rfam by way of RNAcentral.